UCAACCCCAUCAUCCGGUUGACAAGCCAAACUUGCUUUUCUUGGUAGACGGUUUGUCUUUAUUCAAUUUAUAUGUUGUAAGUAACCAAAUGUACAAUUGACUGAUUAUUUAGGUAUUUAAUUGCGCAUUCCAGAGCAUUAUAGAUUAUAAUUCAACGUGUACAGUAGUUAUCUCUGCUCAGCUAGCUAGCUAAUUUAGCUACAAUCCUACUCAUGUCAAAAUUCUCCAUCCAUAGUUCUGGAUUAAUCGAAUAAAGAAUGGACAGCCCCAGCCCAGCAACCCACCCUCACUGUUGAGCAGGCCAGAUGUAAGAACAGUUGUCACAUACUUUUGUCUUAUUACUAAUGCCCAGUAGUGGCACAGAUCUCUUCAAACUGCUUGUGUUGCAGUGGUGCUGAGUGAGGUCAUCCAAGCCUUCUCUGUGCCAGAGAAUUCAGCGCGGAUGGAGGAGGCACGGGAGAGCGCCAACAACAUGGUCAAGAUGCGAUAGCUGGUGCUCCCCAUGGCCACCCAGAUCCAACAGGAGGUCAUCAAGGUUUAUGGCUUCAAUGAGGGAGAGGGUGAGGGAAGCCACUUUGUGAAACCAGUUCCAUACAGAAUGAAAGGGUAGAGAUAGACAAUCUAUUGUCACUUGUCAGUGGCAUUGUUUUGUGUGAAGACUGAAUGCUAUCUUUUUGCGUCAUGUUCAGUUUGACCUAUACUGGAAAAAAAUAUAAAUGCAGCAAUUUCUAUGA
Salvelinus namaycush (lake trout) is the source of this 734-nucleotide long non-coding RNA. RefSeq lists it as uncharacterized. The record is from RefSeq and is a predicted model, not a curated record. The transcript has 2 exons. Lineage: Eukaryota; Metazoa; Chordata; Actinopteri; Salmoniformes; Salmonidae.